Molecule: long non-coding RNA, 771 nt
Filed under: Phoenix dactylifera (date palm)
Lineage: Eukaryota; Viridiplantae; Streptophyta; Magnoliopsida; Arecales; Arecaceae
Description: long non-coding RNA (PDAC_LNC018310)
Source: RNAcentral
CUCGAGCUAUCAAAAACCCAUGUGCUAAGCUUGCAUGAAUGAUCUCUGCUAUCUGUACCUGGGCGCACUCCACGACAAACCUUGGAGACGGACUGCUUUCGCCAAAAGUCCGUGCGUUCCUUACCAACCAUAUCUGUCCAGCUGUGUAGGUCGCUCUAGUGGCCACCCGACGCAUCUAGGGGCGUCGGAUCAUCGACGGAUCGCUUGUAGGAAAGGCCUCAUCCGGCUCUAGGGAUUCUGCGGGACCUUGGUGAGCCUCCAAACCCCUCUAGCCCACACAUACUGGAACAGGACAUGAGCCACCGUCUCGUCCACUCGGUAGUCCGGACACUAGAAUUGAAUGCUCAGUCCUUUUCUACUCAGCACUAAUCUCGGUGGCAGGCACUCCCAAACCACCUUCCACAGAAAAUAAUGCUAUCCUCAGGUAGAGUUAGAAGCUCUAGAUCCAAGCACAAAUCCAUCCCCGGCAUGUGCUCAUGUUGGAGGGCUCGGAAGACAUCUCCCAUCCUAAACACUGGCUCUGCAUGACGUGCUCCAGACCCUCACAUCCAGGCCAGCACACACUGAAAUCAGAAGCGAUCGAACACGCUUUGCAAUCUACUUUCCAAAUAGCUGACCAAUCUUGCCGACGUCCUACUCCGCCCCCUUUGGGCUAAGAAGAUCGUAGACUCGGAGUCCGUCUACUGUCUCGACGUUGAUCAUAUUUAGCCAGAGUCUCAAAGGAAGCGAGUCCACCUACGGGUCCACCACAUCCACGCUCUGCCCAUCGCC